Amphiprion ocellaris (clown anemonefish) is the source of this 4145-nucleotide long non-coding RNA. The record is from Ensembl. Lineage: Eukaryota; Metazoa; Chordata; Actinopteri; Pomacentridae.
GUGGUGGGGAGGAAAAAACAACAAGCACCGCUCCAGUCAGCAAACAUCCAUGAGCGGUGGUGAUGCGAACACGGAUACGAGGCUCCAGCAGCACCGCAGUCCGCAGGAAACACGGAGGUAACGGGGAGUUGUCAAGAUACCACCGGGCACAACGGAAAACGCGUUCACUGGCGGGAAUUUACCGCUGAGGCGUCGAAUGGAUGAUGAGGAGGAGGACAUGUCACGGCCCAUCUCGCAGCCCCGGGGAACGUCCUUUGGGGACGUCAAAUUCGAAGACCGCGCCACACAGAUCGCAGCUGGACAGGCCCUCGCUGCCGUCACUGCCGCUGUGUCCACGUCGCAGAGCCACAACAACAACAGCAUCAACGCGCUGCCCUGCGGCUUACAUCGGCAGCCUCACAUACCCUUUCACGUUUAUGAGGCAUCAGAGACAAAACCUGCCUGUCUGGAUGCGCCUUACGAUGGCCCUGUUUGGCUUUUUUUUUCCAAGAGAGGCCCUCGUCCCCCGUCUGAGAGGAGCGCAGAGAUGAAGGGACUUCCUGCCGGCCCUUUGCCUCGGAAUCGGACUUUAAGAGAUGGCACUGUAAGAUGGAACACGGGUUUGGAUUUUGUUUUCUAUUAUCUAUGAAGAUGAGAUGAAGAAGACACUGGUCACCGCUGGACGGAGACAGAUUACAAAUUUUUUCUUUUGUUUGUUUUGUUUUAACUUUUUUGUUGUUUUUUUUCUGCCUCUCAAAGAAGAAGCCAUUGUGUUUGAAGAGAUAUUUUCGAAAUAUUUGUAAGAUUACCUAUUUUGUACAGUAAACUGGUCUUUUUAUUUGGUAUUUCAAGUCUUGAAGGACCUCCAUCAGUCCGGGGAAUGCCUUAUUCUCUCCUGCCACAGUACAUACUCUUUUUGCAUCAAGAAAAAUCGUUAGGAAAGAGAUCGGUUUUAAGAUUGGGCCCUUCUUUGGGUGACAGACUGUGGACAUUUUUGUGCAGAAGUUACUGAGUUAAAACCUUGAGGACUCGAGGCACACUUCUAAUUUAUUCUCUGAAAUACAAUAAGCCCUGUACUUAUCCUUUAAUGCUCCACACUGGCUAAUUCAAACAUGGUUGUCGUGACAUUGUGGCGGUGUAAGAACACACCGUCGGUCGGUCUAGAUUCGUGUUUUUUUCAGCUUCCACUGUAGACACGAGGACGUUACAUCUUUUACAGCGUCACCCAUCAGCAUCUCCGUCUCCAGAACCACUCAUGUUGUUAGAGGUGACCUUCCGACCCGCUGCGUACAUUCAGACGCCGUUGAUUUAAAGCAUGUAUACUUGAAUUUAGGUGUGCUGAAGAUACUCAGACCCGACGUCGUGAUUUCAGUUCGUGGGCCACGUGUUCGUCUGUUUGCAAAUCUCUGCAUUCACUUUGAAACCAAAUGAGCACAAAGUUGAACAAAUCUCACCUCGUGGGAUUUACAAUCAGGGAACUGGAAACAAUCAGACAGCUGAGAAGCUUUGGAGAAACGUCAUCACUUUCCAAAGAGUUCCAGGAUUUAUUCCUCUGGCUGAGUUGACAAUCGCAGUUGUAUUUGUUUGUUUGUUUGUUUUUGCCCCCUGCUGCAUUGUGGGUCGCCUGUGAAUGAGAUGACGUCGGCAUUUUAAGGGGUGAGCAAUAUUCAAGCCAGUGGAAGGAGACAUUUCCCAGAAUAUUACCAACGUAGUACACCACAAUUUACACAUUUUUUCUUUGUUACAGAAACGUUUUGGGGUCACAGAGAUGCAUUUUUAUUUUAUUUCACUCCAGGUGUAAAUGUCUGAAGCACUGAUUUGGACCCUGAUGUGCUCAAACGCGUGAGACGUCUCAAACCGCCGGUGGUACAUUCUGCUCCACUUUAGUCAGGACAGCUUCUGUACAGUUUAAAACCCGUUUUUUAUUCACACACCGACACGUCUGGUCACACGUGAAGUGUGACGACAUAGCCACUGUUCCUAAAUGUAAAGUCUUUAAGGACUUCAUAUGAUGUUAAAAAAUUCCUCAUUUGAUGUAUUAUUUCAGUCUGUUGUAGAUUCAUGAUAUGAACUUUGGAAGACACUGAUGGUUUUUUUUUCUGCUUUUAUGUUUUCUUCAGGGAGUAGUUAAUAACCGCAGUAAUUAUCCGACAUUUACUCAUGAGCAGGAUUUGAUAAAAACAUCUGCUUUAGUCUCUCAUUCAUGCGGUAGACGACGCAGACGUUUCAUUCGACUUUUUACAUUUUCCAAAGCAUUUUCACUCGACGUUGCCAUGGUAGUGUGUUACAGAUUGUCAGGGUUUUUUUUGCUUUUUUUUUUUUAAACUACAGGAGUAGCCAAACCAAAAGUUUGUUUCCUGCAAACACUGAACGCUGAGCCAAUUCAGAUAGUUGUGACACACUCUCUCAUCUCCGCUCCAAAAGCUUCUUCGUCACGUUUUAACUACUCCCUGUUUCUUAACAAGAAGGAGUUUUUGGUUUUCUUUGAGAUAAUUUAUUCUAAUUUAUUUUGUGUAUAUUUGCCCAGUGCUACUGUAUAGAUGCUAUCUCAGUGUGUACAGUCCUUUUCUUCUCAUUGUCGAGGUGCAUUGGGUUGCGUGUUUGAUGCCUGUGUGUGGGGAGGUUGGACUAAAGCCAUGUGCCUCGUGCGUUCUCACACGAAUGCUGUGAGUCUUUUACAAAUCACGUGGAGAAAAAACAAAACAGACAAUCAAAUGUACAAAACGUGCCUUGUGAGUAACAGACCUGCCACAUCAUCAUCAUAAACACUUGGCAUAAUUACCCCAAAGUCACUGGUCACUGCUCUCGUUUCACUCGGGCUCUGUGAGAUCAAUACACACACACACACAAAAAAAAGAAUCUUUUUGAUUUCUCACAUCAGCUCACGAGGCACAGGCUCAACCUUUGACAUCUCUCAGCACGAACGGCGAGUUUCACCAUGCAAAACCUUCUCUUCAAUAUCAGAAACGACUGUUUGCAACGUGCACUGUAAAAAACAAACUAUUUUUUAUCUGUAUACUGUAUUUUGCGCCUCUCUCUUUCUACUCCUGUGCUGAACUUCCCCUCUAGAUUCUUGAAACCUUUUUAAGAUCUGUAAUAUGCUGGAUCGGCCCGGCUCGUCUGGGUUUUUGUGCUUUAUUAUCUACAAUCUAGCAGGGCUGCGGGUUUACGUUUGAAGGAGGAAUGAGCCACCACGGUGCCCAGUAUUAUUUGAGAUGGGUUGAACAGCCACUCAGCCGGUGUGGUGUUGAUCUGAGCCUGCCGUUACCAACCACUGUUGCAACCUUGACUCAAGUGAAAACAUUUGUUCUACGUUCAACCUUCAGUGUCUUUGCUAUCAAAUUUUUUCAAUCGGUUUUUGAAUAUCCAAGAAAAGAGUGCAUCUUUACUGUCAAGUGCUGUGAUUUGGUGUUUUUUAUACAUUAGACAUGAAUUUGACACAGCUGUCGUUGCUAUCUUUAUAAGAAAACCUUUUAGCAAAAUUUUUUCCAUACCUUUUUGUAAGAAGACGAUGACGAACGAACUACAACAACAUGACUUUUUUGCUUUUUCUAUGAUUGCGUUUUCUUUUUCAAUGUUGUGGCAUUGUUUUUUUUAAAUUUUGGAUAUUGCCAAGUCUGCUGUGUCACUCUCAGUUCAAGGGCUUUUUUCAAUAUAUGUAAAUGGAGUAAAAAUGCAUGUCCAACAUUCCUGAAAAAAAUCUGUAUCCUAAGGAUUUGAAUGUAAUUUAAUGGAGUGAAAAACCACAAUAUCUCUUUUAAUACGUGAAAUGAAACAGUGGAACUUAUUUCAGACGUUGCUUUCUUUGCGUUCAGAGUGGUCUCAAGGAUUUCACAUUCAUGUGUCCUAUGAAGUGAGACCCAGUCCAGAUGUAGCAGUUUUUUGAUAAAGCAUUGACUGUGUUAUCUUUGGGACUGCUCUGUUUCUCCUGCACAGUCUUCAGACGGUGCAGGACGUUGGAGCGAUGGAGGGGUUUGGACGAGGACCGGGAGGGAUGUUUGUUCUUUUUCUAGUGCAAUAUGCUGUACAUAAGAGCUUGGCUCACAAAAAUCUUACAAUUUCUCUUAAUUUUUUUUGUUGUUAAAUGGGUACAUUGCUGUUUUUUUUUUUUUUUGUUUUUUUUCAUUAAAACUUUAUGGACAAUUCAUACGGGUUGUGCUUUGUUU